GGCAUACUGCUAGUUCUAGAAUGCUUUGGAGCUUUCUGCCCCCCAUUAUCUUCUACCUGAUUAGAUGUGCUAUGGCAAAUCUUCCCAAGCCUUUCAAUUGAGUCAGCAAUAUAUUCCAAUGAAUCACUUAAAGAUGCCAGUAAAAUUAGCUUGUUAUCAUCACGAAUCAAGUUUUCCUGUCUGAUUGGUCGCAAAUUCAAUAAUGCGUCACUGAUUUCCAUUUCAACCUCUGAAUUUUCACCAUUGGCAGCACCAUAUUCUGUGUUAAGCUCACCAGUUGAGCAGGGUAAACAUGCACUAGCUGGAUCACGUUGCAUCAGAUUUUCAAUGUCAUGUCUGCCUAUGAGCAUAUAACUUUGCUUCUCAAGAACUGCCUCCAUGUAUGAAGUGCGACAUCUUUCAUAUGUUCUU
RNAcentral lists this unclassified non-coding RNA (411 nucleotides) under Hevea brasiliensis (rubber tree). Lineage: Eukaryota; Viridiplantae; Streptophyta; Magnoliopsida; Malpighiales; Euphorbiaceae. The record is from RNAcentral.